This is a long non-coding RNA of Pocillopora verrucosa, 476 nucleotides long. RefSeq lists it as uncharacterized. Lineage: Eukaryota; Metazoa; Cnidaria; Anthozoa; Scleractinia; Pocilloporidae. The record is from RefSeq and is a predicted model, not a curated record.
ACACCGCUUGUUAUUCAAAGUGAAGACGACGACACGUAUGACUCGCAUGCACUGGCUUGUCUUCUUCCACGAGAAAUGGAACGCAUUCCAGAGGCUCUACGAGAAGUCCAGAUUUUCAGCAAAUCGCAGAGAAAGACAUACACUUUAGGAGAUGUCAAAGGGCAGCAGAUCGGCACGGUUCAGCACUUUCUAAACAUACAGCUGCAUGCUUUGCUUCGAUGUGGCAAAAUAACCAGGAAUUGAAGGGGAAAUCAACGGAGAACGGACAGUAACAUCGAGGCCAAGCUCUACCCAGAAGUUCUCCAGAUACAAACAGGCUGGCGGAGGAGCUUUUAUUCCUGUGACGCUCUUGGUGGAAGGACCACAGCGUUACAAAGAAUUUGUGCUAGAAAGAAUCCGCUUUACUCUUCCAGAAUGCGAGAAUGUCGAGGACAUGCAUGUUGAAUGUUUGAAAUAAACGAAUAUUUUUAAUGGUA